RNAcentral lists this long non-coding RNA (1317 nucleotides) under Capsicum annuum. RNAcentral describes it as "long non-coding RNA (CANN_LNC010676)". Lineage: Eukaryota; Viridiplantae; Streptophyta; Magnoliopsida; Solanales; Solanaceae. The record is from RNAcentral.
GCUGUACUUGCAUCAAAAGAGAAGCCCCUAUCAGCCAUUUCCUUCAUAAAAGUUCUUAUUUCACUAAAUUUGCUCCACCUGAGAAAUCCUUGCACAAACACAUUGUAAGUGACAUGGUCUGGCAAACAACUAUUCUUCUUCAUUUUUCUUGGCAUACUUUUAGCUUCAUCUAACAAUCCUUGUCGACAAAAUCCAGUUAUCAUUGUAUUGUAUGUUCUCACAUCCGGAGGCAAUCCGAUCAAAGAAAGCUUCUCAAAAACAGAUUGAGCUUCAUCCAGUUUACCAUUUUUGCACAAUCCAUUAAUGACAACCGUGUAAAAUGCAAUAUUUGUAUUUUCUCGCUUUCUUUCCAACUUAUUAAAGAGUGACAUAGCUUCUUCAACAAGUCCGUACCUAAAAUAACCAUCAAGCACAGUGGAAUGAGUGCAUAUAUUAGGUUUCGGCCCCACAGAUAGCAUGUCGGCAUAAAUUUGUUUUGCAUCACCAAUUCUUCCAACUUCAAACAGACCUUGCAAGAUAGUAUUGUAUGUAACAGUAUUAGGUUUUGAUCCCCUUUGCGAAAUUUCACUAAGCAAUUGCAUAGCAUCAGCUAUUUUCUUUUUCUUGCAGUAUCCUUUUAUUAGUAUGUUAUAGCUAAUGAUGUCAGGCUCAAUGCCCUUGUUCAUCAAGAUAUCAAAAAUUCUCCUUGCUCUAUCCACUUGACCACGCAAACAAUAUCCAUCCAUUAUCACGUUGUAGGUGAUUAUAUUAGGCUCUACACCUUGACAAAAUCCAGUUAUCAUUGUAUUGUAUGUUCUCACAUUCGGAGGCAAUCCGAUCAAAGAAAGCUUCUCAAAAACAGAAUGAGCUUCAUCCAGUUUACCAUUUUUGCACAAUCCAUUAAUGACAACCGUGUAAAAUGCAAUAUUUGUAUUUUCUCGCUUUCUUUCCAACUUAUUAAAGAGUGACAUAACUUCUUCAACAAGUCCGUACCUAAAAUAACCAUCGAUCACAGUGGAAUGAGUGUAUAUAUUAGGUUUGGGUCCCGCAGAUAGCAUCUCAGCAUAAACUCGUUUUGCAUCACCAAUUCUUCCAACUUCAAACAGACCAUGCAAGAUAGUACUGUAGGUAACAGUUUCAGGUUUUAAUCCCUUUUGAGAAAUUUCACCAAACAAUUGCAUGGCCUCAGCAAGAUUCUUUCUCUUACAAUAUCCGUUUAUUAGUAUGCUAUAGCUAAAAAUGUCAGGCUCAAUGCACUUAUCAAUCAUUAUAUCAAAAACUCUCCUUGCUCUAUCCACUUGACCACGCAAACAAUAUCCAUCCAUUAUCACACUGUAG